UCCAGAGAAGCCAGGGGCUCCCCACAUCAAACCCUAACUAGCUCAAAAAUUGACAAAUUGAAGGGCCAAAUCAGUCCCAAAUCGAUAUCCAAGCAUAAAUUAGUGAUCACCUAAGUGUAGUGAUCAUAAGGCAUGGAAACCGGGUCUUCAAGCGGACAAGCCGGAGCGGACACACGCUUGAAGGGAACGCUUUAAAGGUGAUGCUCGUUUGUUGUGGAUGUUGAUCAAGCAAUGGAGUCAAGAACCGAACACAAGUUUUGAAUGCUUCCGUGCUAAUCUAAUCUAGUUUAAAACAUGUUGUUUUGUAAACUCA
Long non-coding RNA from Helianthus annuus (common sunflower), 313 nucleotides. RefSeq lists it as uncharacterized. The record is from RefSeq and is a predicted model, not a curated record. NCBI's taxonomy places the organism in Eukaryota, Viridiplantae, Streptophyta, Magnoliopsida, Asterales, Asteraceae. The transcript is spliced from 3 exons.